GAGGCCGAGAAAGCAACUCGAAAGAGAAAGAGGGAGCUCGCCAAAAAGGUUCUAGAAAAGAAGUAAGCUACUGCUGUUGCCAGGGUUAAGGAGCUUGAAGUCGAAAAGAGAGCUUAGGUGGAAGAGACGAACUCUCCAACUCAGGACCAAGAUGAAUCCGUCGUCGUGAGAUUGGCUCCUCCUCCGGACUAACCUUCGCUUUAACCAUUG
Molecule: unclassified non-coding RNA, 210 nt
Filed under: Hevea brasiliensis (rubber tree)
Lineage: Eukaryota; Viridiplantae; Streptophyta; Magnoliopsida; Malpighiales; Euphorbiaceae
Source: RNAcentral